This 84-nucleotide transfer RNA is filed under the name Colletotrichum falcatum. RNAcentral describes it as "tRNA-Gly". It matches the Rfam family "tRNA". From Rfam's summary of the family: Transfer RNA (tRNA) molecules are approximately 80 nucleotides in length. Their secondary structure includes four short double-helical elements and three loops (D, anti-codon, and T loops). Further hydrogen bonds mediate the characteristic L-shaped molecular structure. tRNAs have two regions of fundamental functional importance: the anti-codon, which is responsible for specific mRNA codon recognition, and the 3' end, to which the tRNAs corresponding amino acid is attached (by aminoacyl-tRNA synthetases). tRNAs cope with the degeneracy of the genetic code in two manners: having more than one tRNA (with a specific anti-codon) for a particular amino acid; and 'wobble' base-pairing, i.e. permitting non-standard base-pairing at the 3rd anti-codon position. The record is from RNAcentral. Lineage: Eukaryota; Fungi; Ascomycota; Sordariomycetes; Glomerellales; Glomerellaceae.
GCAACCGUGGUGCAGUGGUUUAGCAUUCCAGCCUCCCAUACAGGGAACCAGCUGGGGACCUGGGUUCGAACCCCGGCGGUUGCA